RNAcentral lists this ribosomal RNA (263 nucleotides) under uncultured archaeon. RNAcentral's name for it is "partial 16S ribosomal RNA". It matches the Rfam family "Archaeal small subunit ribosomal RNA", at positions 719 to 982 of the family's 1478-position model. The record is from RNAcentral.
ACAGUCACACAUUAGAUACCCGCGUAGUCCCAGCCCUAAACGAUGCGCGUUAGGUGUAUCGGUAACCACGAGUCACCGAGGUGCCGAAGGGAAACCGUGAAACGUGCCGCCUGGGAAGUACGGUCGCAAGGCUGAAACUUAAGGAAUUGGCGGGGAGCACCACAACGGGUGGAGCCUGCGGUUUAAUUGGACUCAACGCCGGGAAGCUCACCGGAUAAGACAGCGGAAUGAUUGCCGGGCUGAAGACCCUGCAUGACCAGCCG